AUUGAACGCUGGCGGCGUGCUUUACACAUGCAAGUCGAACGGUAACAGGGAGCUUGCUCCGCUGACGAGUGGCGAACGGGUGAGUAAUGCAUCGGAACGUGCCGUGUAGUGGGGGAUAACGUAGCGAAAGUUACGCUAAUACCGCAUACGCCCUGAGGGGGAAAGUGGGGGACCGCAAGGCCUCACGCUAUACGAGCGGCCGAUGUCGGAUUAGCUAGUUGGUAGGGUAAAGGCCUACCAAGGCGACGAUCCGUAGCGGGUCUGAGAGGAUGAUCCGCCACACUGGGACUGAGACACGGCCCAGACUCCUACGGGAGGCAGCAGUGGGGAAUUUUGGACAAUGGGCGCAAGCCUGAUCCAGCCAUGCCGCGUGAGUGAAGAAGGCCUUCGGGUUGUAAAGGCUCUUUCAGACGGAAAGAAAUACGGUGUGUCUAAUACACGCACUGGAUGACGGUACCGUAAGAAGAAGACACCGGCUAACUACGUG
RNAcentral lists this ribosomal RNA (487 nucleotides) under uncultured bacterium. RNAcentral describes it as "bacterial SSU rRNA". It matches the Rfam family "Bacterial small subunit ribosomal RNA", at positions 30 to 507 of the family's 1533-position model. The record is from RNAcentral.